GACGAACGCUGGCGGCGUGCUUAACACAUGCAAGUCGAACGGAAAGGCCCUUCUUUUGUGGGGUGCUCGAGUGGCGAACGUGUGAGUAACACGUGAUUAACCUGCCCUUGACUUUGGUAUAACUUCAUGAAACUGGUGCUAAUACCUGAUAGGAUCUCCUGCUGCAUGGUGGGGGUUGGAUAGUUUCGGCGGUUGGGGAUGGACUCGCGGCUUAUCAGCUUGUUGGUGGGGUAGUGGCUUACCAAGGCUUUGACGGGUAGCCGGCCUGAGAGGGUGACCGGCCACAUUGGGACUGAGAUACGGCCCAGACUCCUACGGGAGGCAGCAGUGGGGAAUAUUGCACAAUGGGCGGAAGCCUGAUGCAGCAACGCCGCGUGCGGGAUGACGGCCUUCGGGUUGUAAACCGCUUUCGCCAGGGACGAAGCGUGAGUGACGGUAAUGGGUAAAGAAGCACCGGCUAACUACGUG
RNAcentral lists this ribosomal RNA (468 nucleotides) under uncultured bacterium. RNAcentral describes it as "partial 16S ribosomal RNA". It matches the Rfam family "Bacterial small subunit ribosomal RNA", at positions 28 to 507 of the family's 1533-position model. The record is from RNAcentral.